Molecule: ribosomal RNA, 292 nt
Filed under: uncultured bacterium
Lineage: Bacteria
Description: partial 16S ribosomal RNA
Source: RNAcentral
GGACUACAGGGGUUUCUAAUCCCGUUCGCUCCCCACGCUGUCGUGUCUGAAUGUCGGAGUCAGGCCAGGAGGCCGCCUUCGCCUCUGGGGUUCUGCCGGAUCUCUACGCAUUUCACCACUACACCCGGCAUUCCACCUCCCUCUCCUGCUCCCGAGAAAGACAGUCUGGCAUAACCCGCCCAGGUUGAGCCUGGGGCUUUCAUACACCACUUAUCUCCCCAUCUGCACACGCUUUACGCCCAGUAAAUCCGGAUAACGCUCGCCACCUACGUUUUACCGCGGCUGCUGGCAC